GGACCCGCACAAGUAGUGGAGCAUGUGGUUUAAUUCGAAGAUACGCGCAGAACCUUACCAACACUUGACAUGUUUCGUCGCGACUUUAAGAGAUUAAAGUUUUCGGUUCGGCCGGACGAAACACAGGUGCUGCAUGGCUGUCGUCAGCUCGUGUCGUGAGAUGUUGGUUAAGUCCCGCAACGAGCGCAACCCUCACUUUUAGUUGCCAUCAUUAAGUUGGGCACUCUAGAGAGACCGCCGGUGAUAAACCGGAGGAAGGUGUGGAUGACGUCAAGUCAUCAUGCCCCUUACAUCCUGGGCUACACACGUACUACAAUGCUACGGACAAAGAGCAGCAAGUUCGCGAGGACAAG
This 353-nucleotide ribosomal RNA is filed under the name uncultured bacterium. Its description in RNAcentral is "bacterial SSU rRNA". It matches the Rfam family "Bacterial small subunit ribosomal RNA", at positions 917 to 1267 of the family's 1533-position model. The record is from RNAcentral.